Molecule: long non-coding RNA, 497 nt
Filed under: Apteryx owenii (little spotted kiwi)
Lineage: Eukaryota; Metazoa; Chordata; Aves; Apterygiformes; Apterygidae
Description: lncRNA (ENSAOWG00000006089.1)
Source: RNAcentral
CGGCACGGCACGGCACGGCGCGGCCGCCCGCUGGGAGGGCAGGGGGAGCGGGCGGCGAGGCCUACCUCCGGGGGCACCAGGAAGCCCGGCCACAGCCGACUCUCAGGGAAGAAAAGCCGCACAAAGGGGGGAAAUAAAACGUUCGCGAGUUGAAAGAAGACUGCUGAAAGAGGGAGAAAGAUAUUUGAAUUGCUAUUGCUGCUGGAGAAAAGGAAUGAAAAAGAAGUCUUCAGUGGAUCAGGGAAUAUCAGUGCCAUAUCAGUAACUGUAAAUGAGAAGCGAAUACUCCUCUCAAAGCUGCUGAUACUGCAGAAAGAUCCAGCGAGACAAAGUAGCAUGUAAUAUUUUCUUUAACUGGCAGGUUGGGCCUGGUAUUGUACUGGCUCCAUCUUGUGGCUGAACCUGUAAAGAAUUUUUGGUAAUCUUAACUUGUUAAAAUGAUCCUUACAGAAAUAUUGAUAAAUAAAUGUGUAAACUUCCUUUAUAACUUUUAAAAC